RNAcentral lists this ribosomal RNA (200 nucleotides) under uncultured prokaryote. RNAcentral describes it as "partial 16S ribosomal RNA". It matches the Rfam family "Bacterial small subunit ribosomal RNA", at positions 1184 to 1382 of the family's 1533-position model. The record is from RNAcentral.
GUCAAGUCAUCAUGGCCCUUAUGUCCAGGGCUACACACGUGCUACAAUGGGCGGUACAGAGCGGAGCGAAGCCGCGAGGCGCAGGCGAAUCGCCUAAAGCCGCCCGUAGUCCGGAUUGAAGUCUGAAACCCGACUUCAUGAAGUUGGAAUCGCUAGUAAUCGGAGAUCAGCAUGCUCCGGUGAAUACGUUCCCGGGCCUU